This 574-nucleotide long non-coding RNA is filed under the name Helianthus annuus (common sunflower). Its description in RNAcentral is "hypothetical non coding rna". The record is from RNAcentral. Lineage: Eukaryota; Viridiplantae; Streptophyta; Magnoliopsida; Asterales; Asteraceae.
GUUAACCUAGUUUGUUUUUCUAUGUUAGUUACAAGAAGGAAAUAAAUAAAUUAUCAAAACUACAAGGGUUGAACUUGUACAUUUUAAUUAAAGUUUGGUUAAGUAGUGGAAGAUCACAAACAUCAGACAUAAGUCUGAUGUUGGUGUCGAUGCAAGCCAAGGGCCAAGAAGGGUUUCUCAUGAUGAUGAAAUGUUGAAGAAUUGAAGCAAAAUCCAGCCUUAAUUCUCUUGCAUGUGUAGAGAUUCUACAUCAAAAAGCUAUAUGAAACAUGUGGAACGUGUCAAGGAGAGCUCAAGCAUAGGAGGAUAACGGGUCAAGAUAAGGCAAGGUGACAAAUACACUUAUUGGAGUACUCAAGGUUAUGAAUGUCGGACUUUCGAAGUGUUGAUAUAAUAAUGAAACGGUUGAAUGUUGAAAGGAUAAUCGGAUUGAAGUAACUUAUGCGGUUAGAAUAUGCUAUGGACGUUUUAGUUUAUACAACAUUUUAUGUUUGGUCGUCAUCAUCUACCAACGGGUAAAUCCUCAAUUCAGGCGACUUGGAGAAUCGGAGCGAGCGCGUGUUCAUGUUAUGUC